Molecule: ribosomal RNA, 468 nt
Filed under: uncultured bacterium
Lineage: Bacteria
Description: partial 16S ribosomal RNA
Rfam family: Bacterial small subunit ribosomal RNA
Source: RNAcentral
GACGAACGCUGGCGGCGUGCUUAACACAUGCGAGUCGAACGGAAAGGCCCUGCUUUUGUGGGGUGCUCGAGUGGCGAACGGGUGAGUAACACGUGAGUAACCUGCCCUUGACUUUGGGAUAACUUCAGGAAACUGGGGCUAAUACCGGAUAGGAGCUCCUGCUGCAUGGUGGGGGUUGGAAAGUUUCGGCGGUUGGGGAUGGACUCGCGGCUUAUCAGCUUGUUGGUGGGGUAGUGGCUUACCAAGGCUUUGACGGGUAGCCGGCCUGAGAGGGUGACCGGCCACAUUGGGACUGACAUACGGCCCAGACUCCUACGGGAGGCAGCAGUGGGGAAUAUUGCACAAUGGGCGGAAGCCUGAUGCAGCAACGCCGCGUGCGGGAUGACGGCCUUCGGGUUGUAAACCGCUUUCGCCUGUGACGAAGCGUGAGUGACGGUAAUGGGUAAAGAAGCACCGGCUAACUACGUG